This 72-nucleotide transfer RNA is filed under the name Dipodomys ordii (Ord's kangaroo rat). It matches the Rfam family "tRNA". From Rfam's summary of the family: Transfer RNA (tRNA) molecules are approximately 80 nucleotides in length. Lineage: Eukaryota; Metazoa; Chordata; Mammalia; Rodentia; Heteromyidae. The record is from Rfam by way of RNAcentral.
GGGGAUGUGGCAUAGCGGUAGAGUGCUUGCCUAGCAUGCAUGAAGUCCUGAGUUCAAUUCCUCAGUACUCCA